AGCCAUUGUUGCCUUCAGGCUCUAGGGAGUCCGAGGAGACCAGGGAAUGAAGCGCUCCCCAGCACAGUGCAGCAGUUCUACAGAGAAGCAGCCAGACUGAUUUUUCGUGCAAGUCCUUUAUGCUGUUUCUCUUUACUGGGCAGAAUCUCCAAACCGAGGACGACAACCACCCCCAUAGAUGUGUUCAGGCAAGCAAAUAGCUAGAACAUCAAUAAGAUGCUGGAGUUUAAUCAACCACAGCAGACUGUGAGGUGGAAGCCACUUGGUGAUUGUGAGCCAGCACCAAGAUCGAAGGCAUUUGGAUCCCUGGUGAUCACAGACCCAGCAUGUCAUCUCUGCAAAGCUUCCCAGAAAGUGUGGAAUAUUGGCCUUCCUUUUCAGAUUCAUGUGAAAGCUUGGAGAAAAGAACACAGACUAAAAGGAAUAUAAAUCCAAAAGAAUGAGUGAAAUGGGAAUACACAAGGCAUGAGCAAUAAGACUGUUCUCUCAGAAACAAUGAGAAUAACUGCUCUACAUCUUACAAACCAGAAACUUACACGUUGUAUCUCAUUAAAUUUUAUUUUGAAUAUUGAGAA
Molecule: long non-coding RNA, 575 nt
Organism: Homo sapiens (human)
Lineage: Eukaryota; Metazoa; Chordata; Mammalia; Primates; Hominidae
Product: long intergenic non-protein coding RNA 2468
Source: Ensembl